Molecule: non-coding RNA, 1148 nt
Organism: Pelobates cultripes (western spadefoot toad)
Lineage: Eukaryota; Metazoa; Chordata; Amphibia; Anura; Pelobatidae
Source: the annotation of a GenBank genome assembly
GGAAAAAGGUAAGUUUUACCCCUUUUCUCCUUUCCAGAGCCGGGCGAGAGGGGGUCCCUGAGGGUGGGGGCACCCUCACGGCACUAUAGUGCCAGGAUAACGGGUAUGUUUUCCUGGCACUGUAGUGGUCCUUUAACUAAACAGUAGAUAGAAAAUAUUAAGGGAAAAGAGCAAAGCAGGGAGUAAGGCUGGGUUGGCGAUUUCAAAGUCAGGUAGAAUUGGGCACAAAUCUCGCCAGUUUUUUCGAACUUUUAACACCGGAACGAAUUGACUCAUUGAAUAAAAUCCCAUAGGGAAAUUCCAGAUGGAUAGAUUCAUUCAGGUUCAUUCAAAAUAAUUUGAUUUGAACGAUCCGGAUUAUUCACUAAAGUGAGAAUUCACAGUGAAUUUUUAAGCUGAAACACUACACAUGCACACUUCUACCACCAAUUUGAAGGUAAAGCCCUACAUACACACUAUGGACAAAAGUAUUGUAACACCUGACCAUUACACCAACAGGCACUGGGGUGGUGGGUCGCAAGGCGAUUCCCAGUGUGUCGCGCUGACCCACACAUGCAGGGCCGCCGGCUAGUCAGGCAGGCAGACUGAUUAGUCAGGCUCUCGGUCCGUGACUGCGGGCCCGACACCAGGAGGGGGCCCGGCGGCUUGCCCAGUAUGCCGCCGGGCUUCCUCCAAUCAGUCUGCCCAGCAACUCCGCCAGGUGCAGAGCUGCAGACCGUGUGAUAGAAGUCUUGCGAGCACCCAGAGCGUUACCAUGGCAACACUCUGGGAGCUUGUGAGACUUAUUACACGGUCUGCAGCUCUGCACCCGGUGGAGCUCAGACUGGAGAACCACAGGACCACCAGGGAGACACUGGACCACCAGGGAAUUUAUUAAAAGGUAGGACACAGACCAUGCCCCCCCGUAACCCCUUCACUCCCUGCCACCCGUAACCCCUUCACUCCCUGCCCCUCUGUAACCCCUUCACUCCCUGCCCCCCUGCAAUCCCUUCACUCCCUGCCCCCCUGUAAUCCCUUCAAUCCCUGCCCCUCCCACUGUAACCCCUACUCUCCCUGUCCCCCUCAAUGUAACUCCUUCACUCCCUGCCCCCCUGUAACCCCCUCACUCCCUGCCCCCCUGUAGCCCCCUCACUCCCUGCCCUCCUGUA